UACGUAGGUGGCGAGCGUUAUCCGGAAUUACUGGGUGUAAAGGGCGCGUAGGCGGGGAUGCAAGUCAGAUGUGAAAUACCGGUGCUUAACACCGGGGCUGCAUCUGAAACUGUGUUUCUUGAGUGUCGGAGAGGGAAGCGGAAUUCCCAGUGUAGCGGUGAAAUGCGUAGAUAUUGGGAGGAACACCAGUGGCGAAGGCGGCUUUCUGGACGACAACUGACGCUGAGGCGCGAAAGCGUGGGGAGCAAACAGG
Molecule: ribosomal RNA, 253 nt
Filed under: uncultured bacterium
Lineage: Bacteria
Description: partial 16S ribosomal RNA
Rfam family: Bacterial small subunit ribosomal RNA
Source: RNAcentral